Molecule: non-coding RNA, 1943 nt
Organism: Misgurnus anguillicaudatus (oriental weatherfish)
Lineage: Eukaryota; Metazoa; Chordata; Actinopteri; Cypriniformes; Cobitidae
Source: RefSeq, a predicted model, not a curated record
CCAUGACGCGUGUGCUGUGCGCGCCGAACACGUGCCCUUUUUGGCUUGUUCGACUUCAUGCGGCGCUGCAAAAACCGACAGCUGUAUGACGUCAAAGUACCGCGAGAACGAUUCGAGAACUCAUACGAAGUGUAAUGUCGUCUCGCUCUCGCAGGACUUUAACGUCAUCCGUCUGUCAGUUCUAGCGGGGCCGCAGGCAGGAAGUCGAACAGCCUUCUUUCUCAAUUCGGAAUCGGAUUACCAUGAGGUGGGACUGACGAAGCUCCUCUUUCACGGGUUUCUUUACUGUUUUCAGGAGUGACCAAAAUAACCUCUAUAAUAGAAGAAAAGCUGAAGAUUUCAAAAUUUUCUGAAGGGAGCCACAGACAGAGAUGUAAACUCAGGCAGGUUGAGAGCAUAUUAACUCACUUUUUUCACAACAUAUUACCAUGCAUCUUGUCAUUUUUCUGCGUUUAUAGCAGUUAUUCUAGGAAGAUUUUAACAUCCAAACGUGAGUGGCACCAUAUGAGCAAUAUUAAAUGAACAAGUAAACCUAAAAACAUAGAUUCUGUUAUAUUUUGUAUACUUUAAUUUUCUUUUCUGUGUUUUACAUCCUUUUCAUCAAUAUUGAUUGCUUUGUGACAAAUUGCAUGUUAUGUUUGUAGAUUUUCCAGGCUGAUAUCUGUGCAGCAGAGUCAAAGCAGACCUGUCAGAAAACAUCUCUAAGGAUACACAUCAUAAGAUAACUAGAGCUUACGGCUCUGUUUGGAUCCAGCCUCACUUGUGAAGACUUCAGAUGACGUAAACACUCACAAAGACAUUAUAUGAUGGCAUCUAUAGAUGGACAUACACAACUGCCAAAUGUAACAUAUUGUAAUUACUGCACCAAAGCGCAACCCUACAGAUUUUCAACCCACUUAAUAUUGUUACAAAUACAAUAUAUGUUUAUAUUUGAAAAAAUAUUCUUUAGCUAAUUUUACUGAUUUAUUUCCAUUUAUUUGUCCACAAUACUCUGCCAAAAUGAUGUUUUGCAUCAUCCAAAUAUUGUUAAUGUACAUAUUACAGACAUUGUAACAACACAAAGUGGGUUGAAAAAGUUUCUUCUUCUAAGUGCAGUAACUACGCUAACACUAAAACCGAGAAAAAAGUUCUUAAAGUGUUUUACACCAGCGGGUCAAACUUGUUACUGCAAUUUUGGCAAACACAUUUCUCUGAUGGGACAAAAUUAAACCAGGAGACUUUGUCACAAGACAACAGAUCUCACAAAGCCCAUUUCAACCUUCACCUCAAUUUUGACCAAAUGCAUAGUUACUGCGCUUUGGCUUUGUUGGACAGUAUUGUAGUAUUAUAGUAAUGCUGCAGUGAAACCAUGGUAACCAUAUAUUUUUAAAUCAUGGUAAAGUUUGUGGUUACUAAAAUGUAGUACUAUAAACUUAUGCUGUUGUAAGAGAAUGUUUAUUCUUUAUUAUUGUUGUGAAACUAUUGUUGAUUUUAUAUUUACCAUGUGUUACUGCAAAUGAUGGUAAAAUCAUGGAUAACUUUGCAUGGGUACAGAAAGGUGUAAACUGGUUGUUUUUAUUUGGAAGUCAUGUUGGUUUUAAUGCAUGUGAUAAAUGUAUAUGCAUUUGGAUAUUUAUUCUUUUUACUGACAAUAAUAAAUUUGCAGUUGCUGAUGUAAAUUGUUUAUUAUUGUGUUGAAAGACAUUUGGUUAGCGUGAUUAAACAAUUAUGAACCACGGACCGACCGUGGGCAGCUAGGAACCAUUACCGGUAUAAACCAGCGGACCUUUGCGGCUGCCGCUGGUGGUCCGCUGGAAAAACGAUGGGUAAAACUCCGGCGAGCCGCUGGCGGCAUCCGCCGGCGGACCGCCGCUCGUCCGCUGGCCUUGUGUUAGCUGGGGCAGCGGUCCAACAGCGGACCUCCGACCUCUGCGGCUGCCGCUGGUGGUCCGCUGGAAAAACGA